GGGUUGUGAGGUUAAGCGACUAAGCGUACACGGUGGAUGCCCUGGCAGUCAGAGGCGAUGAAGGACGUGCUAAUCUGCGAUAAGCGCCGGUAAGGUGAUAUGAACCGUUAUAACCGGCGAUUUCCGAAUGGGGAAACCCAGUGUGACUCGUCACACUAUCAUUAACUGAAUCCAUAGGUUAAUGAGGCGAACCGGGGGAACUGAAACAUCUAAGUACCCCGAGGAAAAGAAAUCAACCGAGAUUCCCCCAGUAGCGGCGAGCGAACGGGGAGGAGCCCAGAGCCUGAAUCAGCAUGUGUGUUAGUGGAAGCGUCUGGAAAGGCGCGCGAUACAGGGUGACAGCCCCGUACACAAAAGCGCAUGUGCUGUGAGCUCGAUGAGUAGGGCGGGACACGUGGUAUCCUGUCUGAAUAUGGGGGGACCAUCCUCCAAGGCUAAAUACUCCUGACUGACCGAUAGUGAACCAGUACCGUGAGGGAAAGGCGAAAAGAACCCCGGCGAGGGGAGUGAAAAAGAACCUGAAACCGUGUACGUACAAGCAGUGGGAGCCCCACCACUAAGCCAGUGGUGAACUCCACAUACGCAUCCUUUGCUGAGGAUACGGUUAACGGAGCGAAAGCGACGUUCAACCUCAAAAGAAGCAGAGGGGGCUUAGUGGUGGGGUGACUGCGUACCUUUUGUAUAAUGGGUCAGCGACUUAUAUUCUGUAGCAAGGUUAACCGAAUAGGGGAGCCGGAGGGAAACCGAGUCUUAAC
Molecule: ribosomal RNA, 755 nt
Filed under: Salmonella enterica
Lineage: Bacteria; Pseudomonadati; Pseudomonadota; Gammaproteobacteria; Enterobacterales; Enterobacteriaceae
Description: partial 23S ribosomal RNA
Rfam family: Bacterial large subunit ribosomal RNA
Source: RNAcentral